RNAcentral lists this ribosomal RNA (468 nucleotides) under uncultured bacterium. RNAcentral's name for it is "partial 16S ribosomal RNA". It matches the Rfam family "Bacterial small subunit ribosomal RNA", at positions 28 to 507 of the family's 1533-position model. The record is from RNAcentral.
GACGAACGCUGGCGGCGUGCUUAACACAUGCAAGUCGAACGGAAAGGCAGUGCUUUGGUGCGGUGCUCGAGUGGCGAACGGGUGAGUAACACGUGAGUAACCUGCCCUUGACUUUGGGAUAACUUCAGGAAACUGGGGCUAAUACCGGAUAGGAGCUGAUGUUGCAUGGUGGGGGUUGGAAAGUUUCGGCGGUUGGGGAUGGACUCGCGGCUUAUUAGCUUGUUGGUGGGGUAGUGGCUUACCAAGGCUUUGACGGGUAGCCGGCCUGAGAGGGUGACCGGCCACAUUGGGACUGAGAUACGGCCCAGACUCCUACGGGAGGCAGAAGUGGGGAAUAUUGCACAAUGGGCGGAAGCCUGAUGCAGCAACGCCGCGUGCGGGAUGACGGCCUUCGGGUUGUAAACCGCUUUCGCCUGUGACGAAGCGUGAGUGACGGUAAUGGGUAAAGAAGCACCGGCUAACUACGUG